GUUGCAGUGCGGGUGCUAUACAUGCAGUCGAGCGCGUGAAUCAACAUGAUCCCUUCGGGGUGAUUGUUGUGGAUCGAGCGGCGGACGGGUGAGUAACACGUGGGCAACCUACCCAUGAGAUCGGGAUAACUCCGGGAAACCGGAGCUAAUACCGAAUAACCCAGUGAACUGCAUGGUUCACUGGUAAAAGGCGGUUUCGGCCGUCACUCAUGGAUGGGCCCGCGGCGCAUUAGCUAGUUGGUAAGGUAACGGCUUACCAAGGCGACGAUGCGUAGCCGACCUGAGAGGGUGAUCGGCCACACUGGGACUGAGACACGGCCCAGACUCCUACGGGAGGCAGCAGUAGGGAAUCUUCCGCAAUGGACGAAAGUCUGACGGAGCAACGCCGCGUGAACGAUGAAGGUCUUCGGAUCGUAAAGUUCUGUUGUUAGGGAAGAACAAGUGCCAGAGGAAAUGCUGGUACCUUGACGGUACCUAACCAGAAAGCCACGGCUAACUACGUGCCAGCAGCCGCGGUAAUACGUAGGUGGCAAGCGUUGUCCGGAAUUAUUGGGCGUAAAGCGCGCGCAGGCGGUUUCUUAAGUCUGAUGUGAAAGCCCACAGCUCAACUGUGGAGGGCCAUUGGAAACUGGGGAACUUGAGUACAGAAGAGGAGAGUGGAAUUCCACGUGUAGCGGUGAAAUGCGUAGAUAUGUGGAGGAACACCAGUGGCGAAGGCGACUCUCUGGUCUGUAACUGACGCUGAGGCGCGAAAGCGUGGGUAGCAAACAGGAUUAGAUACCCUGGUAGUCCACGCCGUAAACGUUGAGUGCUAGGUGUUAGGGGGUUUCCGCCCUUAGUGCUGAGGUUAACGCAUUAAGCACUCCGCUGGGGAGUACGGCCGCAAGGCUGAAACUCAAAAAUUGACGGGGCCCGCACAAGCGGUGGAGCAUGUGUUUAAUUCAA
Molecule: ribosomal RNA, 945 nt
Filed under: Pontibacillus sp. R214117
Lineage: Bacteria; Bacillati; Bacillota; Bacilli; Caryophanales; Bacillaceae
Description: bacterial SSU rRNA
Rfam family: Bacterial small subunit ribosomal RNA
Source: RNAcentral